Molecule: non-coding RNA, 31 nt
Filed under: Mus musculus (house mouse)
Lineage: Eukaryota; Metazoa; Chordata; Mammalia; Rodentia; Muridae
Source: RNAcentral
UGGUAUGUGCACACAAUGUACACAUGGCCAC